Molecule: ribosomal RNA, 253 nt
Filed under: uncultured bacterium
Lineage: Bacteria
Description: partial 16S ribosomal RNA
Rfam family: Bacterial small subunit ribosomal RNA
Source: RNAcentral
UACAGAGGUGGCAAGCGUUGUUCGGAAUUACUGGGCGUAAAGGGCGCGUAGGUGGCCAUCUAAGUCAGACGUGAAAUCCCACGGCUUAACCUGGGAACUGCGUCUGAUACUGGACGGCUAGAGUAUGGGAGAGGGAUGUAGAAUUCCAGGUGUAGCGGUGAAAUGCGUAGAGAUGUGGAGGAACACCGAUGGCGAAGGCAGCCCUCUGGGCUAUCACUGACGCUCAGGCACGAAAGCGUGGGGAGCAAACAGG